Molecule: ribosomal RNA, 2875 nt
Filed under: Drosophila willistoni
Lineage: Eukaryota; Metazoa; Arthropoda; Insecta; Diptera; Drosophilidae
Description: eukaryotic LSU rRNA
Rfam family: Eukaryotic large subunit ribosomal RNA (bases 1-2424)
Source: RNAcentral
UUAAGCAUAUUAAUUAGGGGAGGAAAAGAAACUAACAAGGACUUUCUAAGAAGCGGCGAGCGAAAAGAAAAUAGUUCACUAGGUCACUUUGUCUUUAUGGCAAAUGUGAGAUGCAGUGUAUGGAGCAUCAAUAUUCUAGUAUGAGAAAUUAACGAUUUAAGUCGUUCUUAAAUGAGGCCAUUUACCCAUAGAGGGUGCCAGGCCCGUAUAACGUUAAUGAUUACAAGAUGGUGUUUCCAAAGAGUCGUGUUGCUUGAUAGUGCAGCACUAAGUGGGUGGUAAACUCCAUCUAAAACUAAAUAUAACCAUGAGACCGAUAGUAAACAAGUACCGUGAGGGAAAGUUGAAAAGAACUCUGAAUAGAGAGUUAAAUAGUACGUGAAACUGCUUAGAGCUUAAGCCCGAUGAACCUGAAUAUCCAUUAUGGAAAAUAUGAAAAUAUUUUAAUAAUAUUAUAAUAAUAGUGUGCAUUUUUUCCAUAUAAGGACAUUGUAAUCUAUUAACAUAAACCAAAUUUAUCAUAAAAUAUGACUUAUAGUUUAUUUAAAUUAUUUUGCUUGCAUUUUAACAUAGAAUAAAUGUCAUUAAUUUGAUAAAGUGUUGAUAGAUUUAUAUGAAUACAGUGCGUUAAUUUUUCUGUGUGGAACGUACCUUGAGCAUAUAUGCUGUGACCCGAAAGAUGGUGAACUAUACUUGCUCAGGUUGAAGUCAGGGGAAACCCUGAUGGAAGACCGAAACAGUUCUGACGUGCAAAUCGAUUGUCCGAAUUGAGUAUAGGGGCGAAAGACCAAUCGAACCAUCUAGUAGCCAACUUCCUUCCGAAGUUUCCCUCAGAAUAGCUGGUGCAUUUAAAUGUUAUAUAAAAUAAUCUUAUCUGGUAAAGCGAAUGAUUAGAGGCCUUAGGGUCGAAACGAUCUUAACCUAUGCUCAAACUUUAAAUGGGUAAGAACCUUAACUUUCUUGAUAUGAACCUUGAUUUAAGGUUACGAUAUAUUGUGCCCAGUGGGCCACUUUUGGUAAGCAGAACUGGCGCUGUGGGAUGAACCAAACGUAAUGUUACGGUGCCCAAAUUAACAACCCAUACAGAAACCAUGAAAGGCGUUGGUUGCUUAAAACAGCAGGACGGUGAUCAUGGAAGUCGAAAUCCGCUAAGGAGUGUGUAACAAUUCACCAGCCGAAGCAACUAGCCCUUAAAAUGGAUGGCGCUUAAGUUGUAUACCUAUUCAUUACCGCUAAAGUAGAUGAUUUAUAUUAUUUAUAAUAUAAAUUUUGAAACUUUAGUGAGUAGGAAGGUACAAUGGUGUGCUUAGAAGUGUUUGGCGUAAGCCUGCAUGGAGCCGCCAUUGGUACAGAUCUUGGUGGUAGUAGCAAAUAAUCGAAUGAGACCUUGGAGGACUGAAACGGAGAAGGAUUUCGUGUGAACAGUGGUUGAUCACGAGUUAGUCGGUCCUAAGUUCAAGGAGAAAGCCGAAAAAUUUUCAAGUUUUAAAAAUGUCAAAUGAAAUAAUAAAUAAUAAAACACUUGAAUAAUUUUGAACGAAAGGGAAUACGGUUCCAAUUCCGUAACCUGUUGAGUAUCCGUUUGUUAUUAAAUAUGGGCCUCGUGCUCAUCCUGGCAACAGGAACGACCAUAAAGAAGCCGUCAAGAGGUAUCGGAAGAGUUUUCUUUUCUGUUUUAUAGCCGUACUACCAUGGAAGUCUUUCGCAGAGAGAUAUGGGAGAUGGGCUAGAAGAGCAUGACAUAUACUGUUGUGUCGAUAUUUUUUCCUCGGACCUUGAAAAUUUAUGGUGGGGAUACGCAAACUUCUCAACAGGCCGUACCAAUAUCCGCAGCUGGUCUCCAAGGUGAAGAGUCUGUAGUCGAUAGAAUAAUGUAGGUAAGGGAAGUCGGCAAAUUGGAUCCGUAACUUCGGGAUAAGGAUUGGCUCUGAAGAUUGAGAUAGUCGGGCUUGAUUGGGAAACAAUAACAUGGUUUAUGUGCUCGUUCUGGGUAAAUAGAGUUUCUAUCAUUUAUGAUAGUUAUUUGUUCCCCGGAUAGUUAGUUACGUAGCCAAUUGUGGAACUUUCUUGCUAAAAUUUUUAAGAAUACUAAUUUUAAUUAGUUCUUUUAAAUUAUAACGAUUAUCAAUUAACAAUCAAUUCAGAACUGGCACGGACUUGGGUAAUCCGACUGUCUAAUUAAAACAAAGCAUUGUGAUGGCCCUAGCGGGUGUUGACACAAUGUGAUUUCUGUACAUUGCUCUGAAUGUCAAAGUGAAGAAAUUCAAGUAAGCGCGGGUCAACGGCGGGAGUAACUAUGACUCUCUUAAGGGAAGCUGGGUCGGAUGAGCGCAGAAGGGGUGUUCUUCGGAACACUGUAAUUCAUAAUUCGUAAGUCUGAUCAAGUCGAUUUGGAACCUCCUCGUGGUGUUUCCUGGGUGCUGUUAAGUUCCUAGUCUCUAGGUUCUUUCCAGUAGCUAAUUCGAGUGGCGAAGCAACUCUUGGGGUUACCAGCCCCUUGAGCCAAGUAACUUUGGUCAAGAUAUGCCUCGGAUAAACAACACAACGACAACUCCAGCGACUUCCCGUCCUGGGGACCAACCGAGAGAGGCUAUAGCAGUGGUAAAUCUCGCGGGAGAGAUUCCCUGUGCAGUAUGUGGGCGGCUCUUCAAUACUAGAAGGGGGCUCGGUGUUCACAUGUAACAUCAACAUAAAGAUGAACUAGAUACGCAACGUCAGCGUGAAGAUGUAAAACUCCGAUGGAGUGAGGAAGAAGCGUGGAAAAUGGCGAGAAAGGAGAUGGAGCUCGAAGCAAGUGGUAAUUUGAGAUUUCCUAAUAAGAAGCUAGCGGAAGUAUUUACUCACCGUAGCUCCGAAGCAAUUAAAUGUUUUCGGA